Molecule: long non-coding RNA, 1220 nt
Filed under: Anser brachyrhynchus (Pink-footed goose)
Lineage: Eukaryota; Metazoa; Chordata; Aves; Anseriformes; Anatidae
Description: lncRNA (ENSABRG00000018942.1)
Source: RNAcentral
GGGCUAGUCAGAUUUUGUGGAGACUGAAUUGAAAGAGGACAAAUUCUUCAAAGGUUAGUGCUACUUCUCAAUGACCAGUUGUACUCACUGACAAAUGCUAUAUCACCUGAGGUCUUUUACAUGAUUUCUUAGUUUACUGAUUUAAACCAUGUCUGAAAUAUAUUUAUUUUCUAAGAAAGUUUGCUGUUUAGAUGUGGGACUGUCAUGAUCCCAGGAUGGGGUCACCACGUGCAUUUACAGCCACAAACAUUGCCUUUAGUUUCCCUUCACUAAACCAUGUUUAUUCUGAGACAGCGAAAAAGCCUUUCCUCUUCACAAAGGCUGUUUAACAGGACUGAUUUGCAAGAUUAUUUUUUUAGCUGAGAACAAUUAAGAACUCUAACAGCUUAACCGACUGUGAUAAUUAACAGUUACAGAGCCUAUCUUUGUGGAGAAUAUAGCACGCUGUCCUAUUUUAGUCCUAGCAUAAUAAAGAGUGAGGAAAAAAAUAAAUACCCAUUGAUAUCCAGAGCAGUUCCCUAGGAUGGUGAGCCUGGUGGAGAGCCCACGCUGGGUGUGAGCUGCCACAGCAGCCGUCCCUGCCUGUGCAAGGCAGAAGGUUAGUCACUUUGACAAACACGGGCAAUAAAUUUAACUAGUCAUCGUGACGCAAGGAGAAACUUUUGGCAGCCAAUGUGGAAAAGCGUGCUACUCCCCACUCACAGGAAGCGGUAGUUUUAUGUAAAUAACUUCUGGGUCAACCUUCUGGGCUCCAGCCGGUGCCCCGGCCGUUUGCUUGCAGCAGCCCAGGAUGCUGGGGAGGCUCUUGGGCAGCAGCCCCAGGCUGUGGUGGUGGGGGGCUCGCCCGAGCACCUGGGGCCCCCACACUGCUCCGCUGUUCCUGCGCCCUGCCAGGGCCGUCGGUGACAAAGCCAAGGGUGUGCGGGAUGCGGUGCAGCAGACAGCUAAUCCAGGUUACAAAGCAUUCAAGAAUGAAAGAAGGCCUACAAAUUUUGAUAAAAAGGUCUUAGUAUGGGCAGGACGCUUUAAAAAGGAGGAGGACAUUCCCAAGUACAUAACAGACCUAAUGCCUCCAGACUUGUGGCAUACUGGGGGCUCCUCCACUUGGCCUUCCCCUUGCUAAGUAAAGAAAUUCACAGCCGGAUAGGAUUUCAUGAAUGACUCAGGUUGUCACAUCGUAGUCUCUUGCAAGCGUGAAUAGUUAGAUAAAUACUGUGAGU